UAUUAGUGGCAUCAUUAAAAGAUUAAAGCUUCGGUGGUAAGAGAUGAGUAUGCGUUCUAUUAGCUAGUAGGUGAGGUAACGGCUCACCUAGGCGACGAUAGAUAGGGGCCCUGAGAGGGGGAUCCCCCACACUGGUACAGAGACACGGACCACACUCCUACGGGAGGCAGCAGUGAGGAAUAUUGGAAAAUGGGCGCAUGCCUGAUCCAUCCAUGCCGCUUGCAGAAAAACUGCCAUAUGGGUUGAAACUGUUUUUAU
This 258-nucleotide ribosomal RNA is filed under the name uncultured bacterium. Its description in RNAcentral is "partial 16S ribosomal RNA". It matches the Rfam family "Bacterial small subunit ribosomal RNA", at positions 180 to 439 of the family's 1533-position model. The record is from RNAcentral.